Molecule: long non-coding RNA, 4500 nt
Organism: Caretta caretta (loggerhead turtle)
Lineage: Eukaryota; Metazoa; Chordata; Testudines; Cheloniidae
Source: RefSeq, a predicted model, not a curated record
ACACACACACACACCGAGUUCAGCUACCGUAACCCUGCUAAUAAUGAGCAUGUGGUAAUGGGGCCUCCCGUAAUGGAGCCUGGGUUCUGGCUGCCAUCACCCUGUAAUACUGGCCUCCACUACUGCACAAUAUUGGCCAUAUUACAGGCCAGACCGGACCCCAUCUUGGUUGGGCGAGUGCAAUAGGUGGGAUGGGAACUAUGGGGCAGAUUGUUAAUGGUGCAAGUGAUUAGCCGGGGAGCCGUCACCGGCAGGGCAGAAAUCUAGACUGGAGGUUUCUCUGGGAAUUGUGGGGGUGUUCUCCGGCUGACAAGACGAUCACACUGGUCCUGUCUGUCCUUGGGCUCUAGGAAUCUGUAAAAUUGCCAAUGUUCAUGGGCAACCAGGAAACCUUAAUUUAAAUCAUUGAUUUUCCUCUGGUGUCUCCCAGGUCCUGCUUGGUCACUUUCUGAACGAACGUUUCAUCGGGCUGGUAUCCCCCCCGCAGCCCUUACCCUGAGUUUGGUACGCCAUUGUGCCAGCUGGACAAAACGCUGGCUCUGGGCAAUGAUACAGUUCGAUGGGUUUCUCCCAGUGCUUUUUCUGGUGUUAGAAAAUGCUGAGCAAUGCUUUUCUUGUUUCCUACCCAAUGAUUCCUCCUUGGGAUUGUAUCCAGCUCCGUGUGGCUGGAAAUUGAGCUCAGUGAGAAAUGCACAGAAACAGCAUUUAAAUGUGGUGGUUGUUCGCUAAAACUAUCCUCAACCAGCUGGGUAGAUAAAGAACAAAGUUUCUCAGUUUAAAGGCUGUUUCCCUUAAAACUAACCAAUUUCUUCAACACAGGCAGAAUGGUUGGUUAGUGAAUAGAGCCGGCUGCAUCUGGUCACCAGGCCCUUGGUGAUUUUAGAAGUAGUAGACUUCAUCUUUUCACACCUCGUUUUAUUCACAGAUCGGAAGAGGGAAGCCAGUUUUCCUGCUUUUUUUACAGCUUUCCGUCCAUGGGUUCUCUUUGGCUAAGCCCGUCACUGAACUGAAUGAGCCAAAUAGAUGGAGCCGAAGAAAACGUUGUCUUUGCAGGAGGCAAACGCUGUGGAAAGCUGGUUCAACUCUUCACUCGAAUUUGGUUCCCGGUGCUGAGCUGGGACUCCGGCCAGGGCAGCGGGGAGAUGUCUGAGAAAAGGCAGGUACCUGCAGACAGCGAUCAAGUCGCCUCCCCUGCAACCAAUGGAGCAGCCGGAACGGCCCCCUCCAGGGCCCUUUUUCUGACCCUUCAGUUCCUCCGCAACUCUUCUCGGAGCCUCUCCAACAGAUCCCCGGCCUCGUGGAGCUGCAGGUACCAGAACCGGAGCCAGGACCCAGCAGCCUCUGCGCCAGCACCGAGUUAGUUAAAAACAGAGAGGCCACGAUGACAGAAAGCAAGGCACAACACAAACUGGAGUUAACCAAACUGAAAGCAAAAGAGAAAGAAAAGGAACACCAGAGACUGGUCGAAUUAAAACGACUUGAUAAGGAAGCCCAGGAGGCUUCCCACCAGAGAGCUAUGGAGGCAGCGAAAGAGGCAGAAAAAGCCCAGGAGGUUACCACAGGAGAGCUAUGGAGGAAAAGGAAAGAGAUGGAGGAGAAGGAAAGAGAGGAAGCAUCCACUGGAGAUGGAGAAGGCAAAGGCUCAGCAGAAUAUACUGAAUAACACUAACUAUCCUUCCCCAACAAUCCACAAAUGGGAGUGACUAUGUCCACAGUAUGAGGAAUCCAGUGAGAUUGCUGAAUAUUUUCUCACCUUUGAGAGACUGUGCACACUCCAUCAAAUUCCUGAAGCUCACAAGAUGACCGCAUUGGUUGCAAAAUUAACUUUUAAAACUCUGGAAUAAGAUGCUUAUUGAUGAGGCUUCUGACUAUAAUAAAUUCAAGGAUUUGGUUUUAAAGCAAUUUCAAGUUACAAUUGAAACGUACAGAGUAAAAUCUAGAGCCCUUAAGAGAGGACCUGAACUAAGUAAUGUGGCUUAUAUAAACCAGACGAAGGAUCUGUUAGAUACAUGGGUUAAAGGAAGGGGUGUAACUAGCUUUGAAGGAAUGUGUGAUUGAUGACUCAGAAGCAAUUUCUGAAUAUGUCCAAGGAGGAUAUAAAACAGUGUUUAUGGGAUAAGAAAAUGGACUCAGCAGAAAGUCUUGCUUCUUAUGGUGAUCAAUACGAGCAGUCCCGGACUGUCAGAGAGGCGGAGCAAACCGGAACAAAACGGGUGGAGGGAGGAAAGAGAAACAACCCUGGUCGCAGUUGGAGCGGAUACCAGAAGCGACACCCUCAGACCACACCCUACUACUGGGGCAGCCUAAGGCCCCAACUACACACCAAGGAACACUCCAGACACCUUAUCGUCCCACCUCACCAUUCUCCAGCAACCCCCCUCGCCCCAGUGACCCGUCAGCUGGACGAUGUUUUAAAUGUAAUGAGCCGGGGCAUGUAAAGGCCAACUGCCCCAAGAACCCCAACAAAUUACAGUUCAUUGCACCGGAAUCACACCAGAGGUCCUCAGGCCCAGAUACCUCCCAGAUACCCUCAGAGCGGAGGGAAACUGAGUGUGGGCGGGAAGAAGGUCACUGCGUGGAGGGACACUGGAGCGCAGGUGUCAGCUAUCCAUGCUUCCUUAGUGGACCCCACAUUCAUCAACCCAGAGGCCCAAGUGAUGAUUCAACCCUUCAAGUCAAACUCUUUUGGCUUGCCUACAGCCAAGUUGCCUGUCCAGUACCAGGGCUGGUCAGGAACAUGGACUUUUGCAGUCUAUGAUGAUUAUCCCAUCCCCAUGCUGUUGGGGGAAGACUUCGCCAAUCAUGCAAAGCUAGCCAAGAGGGUGGGAAUGGUCACCCGCAGCCAGGCUAAGCAAGCUGUGACGCCUAGCUGUGUUCCGGAAACUUCUAUCAGGACCCUCCAGAGGUAAUGGACCUGGACCCCGGGCCAACGUCAGCAACAGCAGUAGUGGAUCCAGUCACAGAGACCCAGACAGAGCCGGAACCGGCGGAAGAACCAGCACCAGACCCAUUCCCAGCACUGAAUCCAACCUCAACACCAGAGGGCCCCACCGAACCUGAACCGGCAGCAGCCCAUAUCCCUACACGAGAGGCUCAGUCGGAGCCUGAAUCCCAACAUAGCGCACCGGCGGAGAGCGGUUCACAGUCAGCGGAAACAGCCCCAUCCCCUACAUCGCUUCCAAAGGGACCAAGCCUAGGUCCACAAUCCAAUGAGGAACUGAUGUCUCCAGCAUCAAGGGAACAGUUCCAGACCGAACAGGAAGCAGAUGAAAGCCUCCAGAGAGCUUGGACGGCAGCACGGAGCAACCCACUGCCUCUUAGCUCUUCUAAUUGAUCCAGAUUUGUUGUAGAAAGAGGACUUUUAUACAAGGAAACUCUUUCUGGUGGACAUCAGGAAGACUGGCAUCCUCAGAGGCAGUUGGUAGUUCCAACUAAGUACCUGGUCAAGCUCUUGAGUUUAGCCCACGAUCAUCCUAGUGGCCAUGCUGGGAUGAACAGGACCAAAGACCGGUUGGGGAGGUCAUUCCACUGGGAGGGAAUGGGCAAGGAUGUUUCUAUUUAUGUCCGGUCUUGUGAAGUGUGCCAAAGAGUGGGAAAACCCCAAGACCAGGUCAACGCCCCUCUCCAGCCACUCCCCAUCAUUGACGUUCCAUUGCAGUGAGUAGCUGUGGAUAUUCUGGGUCCUUUUCCGAAAAAGACACCCAGAGGAAAGCAGUACAUACUGACUUUCAUGGAUUUUGCCACCCAAUGGCCGGAAGCAGUAGCUCUAAGCAACACCAGGGCUAAAAGUGUGUGCCAGGCACUAGCAGACAUUUUUGCCAGGGUAGGCUGGCCCUCUGACAUCCUUAUGGAUUUGGGAACUAAUUUCCUGGCAGGGACCAUGAAAAGCCUUUGGAAAGCUCAUGGGGUGAACCACUUGGUUGCCACCCCUUAACACCAUCAAACAAAUGGCCUGGUGGAGAAGUUUAAUGGAACUUUGGGGGCCAUGAUAUGUAAAUUCGUAAAUGAGCACUCCUGUCAUAACUAUAAAGGGAAGGGUAACCACCUUUCUGUAUACAGUGCUAUAAAAUCCCUCCUGGCCAGAGGCAAAACCCUUUCACCUAUAAAGAGUUAAGAAGCUAAGGUAACCUUGCUGGCACCUGACCAAAAUGACCAAUGAGGAGACAAGAUAUUUUCAAAUCUGGAGGGUGGGGGGGACAAAGGGUCUGUCUGUGUGAUGCUUUUGCAAGGAACAGAUCAGGAAUGCAGCCUUACAACUCCUGUAAAGUUAGUAAGUAAUCUAGCUAGAAACGCAUUAAUUUCCUUUUGUUUAAUGGCUGGUAAAAUAAGCUGUGCUGGAGGGAAUGUAGAUUCCUGUUUUUGUGUCUUUUUGUAACAAGGUUUUGCCUAGAGGGAUUCUCUGUGUUUUGAAUCUGAUUACCCUGUAAGGUAUUUACCAUCCUGAUUUUACAGAGGUGAUUCUUUUACUUUUUCUUUAAUUAAAAUUCUUCUUUUUAAGAA